UAUGGAGUGAUGGGCUCCUCUUAUCA
RNAcentral lists this transfer RNA (26 nucleotides) under Phrynocephalus helioscopus (sunwatcher toadhead agama). RNAcentral describes it as "partial tRNA-Tyr". The record is from RNAcentral. Lineage: Eukaryota; Metazoa; Chordata; Lepidosauria; Squamata; Agamidae.